UACGUAGGGUGCGAGCGUUGUCCGGAAUUAUUGGGCGUAAAGAGCUCGUAGGCGGCUUGUCGCGUCGACCGUGAAAACCCGCAGCUCAACUGCGGGCUUGCGGUCGAUACGGGCAGGCUCGAGUUCGGUAGGGGAGACUGGAAUUCCUGGUGUAGCGGUGAAAUGCGCAGAUAUCAGGAGGAACACCGGUGGCGAAGGCGGGUCUCUGGGCCGAUACUGACGCUGAGGAGCGAAAGCGUGGGGAGCGAACAGG
This 253-nucleotide ribosomal RNA is filed under the name uncultured bacterium. RNAcentral describes it as "partial 16S ribosomal RNA". It matches the Rfam family "Bacterial small subunit ribosomal RNA", at positions 524 to 776 of the family's 1533-position model. The record is from RNAcentral.